CCUACGGGAGGCAGCAGUGGGGAAUAUUGGGCAAUGGGCGAAAGCCUGACCCAGCAACGCCGCGUGAAGGAAGAAGGCUUGCGGGUUGUAAACUUCUUUUGACAGGGAAGAGCAGAAGACGGUACCUGUCGAAUAAGCCACGGCUAACUACGGGCCAGCAGGCGCGGUAAUACGUAGGUGGCACGCGUUGUCCGGAUUUACUGGGUGUAAAGGGCGUUUAGCCGGGGUGACAAGUCAGAUGUGAAAUACUGGGGCUCAACCCCCGAACUGCAGUUGAAACUGUUGGUAUUGAGGAUCGGCGAGGCAGUCGGAAUGCCUAGUGUAGCGGUGAAAUGCGUAGAUAUUAGGAGGAACACCAGUGGCGAAGGCGGACUGCUGGACGACAACUGACGGUGAGGCGCGAAAGCGUGGGGAGCAAACAGGAUUAGAUACCCGGGUAGUC
RNAcentral lists this ribosomal RNA (442 nucleotides) under uncultured bacterium. Its description in RNAcentral is "partial 16S ribosomal RNA". It matches the Rfam family "Bacterial small subunit ribosomal RNA", at positions 338 to 795 of the family's 1533-position model. The record is from RNAcentral.